Balaenoptera musculus (blue whale) is the source of this 1078-nucleotide long non-coding RNA. RefSeq lists it as uncharacterized. Lineage: Eukaryota; Metazoa; Chordata; Mammalia; Artiodactyla; Balaenopteridae. The transcript has 3 exons. The record is from RefSeq and is a predicted model, not a curated record.
ACCCCCAGCCCCCCGUUUCGUGGGGCGAGCACUGCCCGUCCGCCGCCCAGCGCUUCCGUCCCGCGGGUGUCCAGGCCAGAGAGCCGGCCUCCAGCUGCUUUUUGGUGACUCCGAGGCGCGCAUGCUCAGCCGGGCCUUCCUGGGCCCCCGCCCCCCCCUUCCCGACUCUCUUCUUCCCGGUUCCGUGCCCCCAGCCCCGGGAUCGAGUAGGCACCGGGGCGCAGGGACCCGCGCACCUGGCGGCGCCGUGGGUCCCAUGGCCGAGCUCGGCCCGGAGCGCAGGACUUGGCCGCGAGCGCUCCGUGUCCCGGGCCCGCCCACGUGAUCCGGGGUGUGGCGUCCCCUCCCUCCCUAAUCCGCUGAAAGUCCUGGCGCCUCCGGGGAACUGAUCUGGCUGGCCACCAGGAUGUGAAUCCAGACUCACGAGGGUCCAGGAUGCCAGACUUCUACUCUAUGGCCAAGGGGAGAGGCAUUUAAAUGUGUUGGCCUCGUUGGACCCUCAGCCGACUUUCUGUGUUGGUGAAGAUUAGUCUGAAGCCUCAACUACCAGAUCCACUGGGACCUAAAGGAGGAGGAUGAUAUAGACCUUUUCUGACCCUGUGACUUCAAUCAAGCCCCCUCAUGAAUAUGCAUGUACCCUGAGAUUAAAGCUUCCCCGGGAAACACUGCUUUGGGAAAGGUCCCCUGUGUUCUCCCUACUUGCUGCAAAUGAUAAAUUGUUCUCCUGAUUUUGGCUUGGUUGUGUCUUUUGGCUGCACACCCAUCAAGAGGCGACCCCAGUUUUCAGGUAACACUCCUGGGGUCUGGCCUUGAUCUUAUGGGUCUGAAUUCACUUUAAGGAAUGCAAAGACUCUAGUGGCUUCAAAGUAUCAGGGACAAGGGUGUGGAUGGGUCUGGGAGGGAGGUGACAGAGCACAGCUCCUAUUAAGUGGCCCAGAGGUGGCUCAGUGGGCCAGGGAUGCAGGCACAGCUGGCCAAAAGCUCUGGCUCAGUGUUGGCUAAACACGCCAAGGAGAGAGGCCUCAGGAGGAACCACUGCCCACACCUGGAUCUUGUGCUUCCAGCCUCCAGGACGAGG